Long non-coding RNA from Papaver somniferum (opium poppy), 565 nucleotides. RefSeq lists it as uncharacterized. The record is from RefSeq and is a predicted model, not a curated record. The transcript has 3 exons. Lineage: Eukaryota; Viridiplantae; Streptophyta; Magnoliopsida; Ranunculales; Papaveraceae.
GAGAACACACAGAGGGAAAUUGACGAGAGCUUCAGGUGAAAAGAAAUUCAACCAAAAGUCUAGAAAAUUCAUACCCAAUUCUGAUUCAUCUUGAGUGUUUGAAAGUGGUGAGUUUCAUGUUCUAAUCUGCUGUUUCCAUGGAGAUUUUGAAGUAAAUGAAAAAGGGUUUUCUUUGUUCUUGGGUUUUGAUUGAAGGUUUUACUGUUUGACUAGGUGUCUUUGAAUUCAGUUGGCGGAUUACGAAGAUUGAGGUUUGAGUAGCGGUUUGAGUGACAGGUAGCCUCGAUGCAAGUGGUGUUGACUCGGCCGAUGGAGAAAUUAGUGUCUGGGUCGAUUAAGUUGUUAUAACUCGUCCUUGAGAUAUCAUUGCUGGGCUCAGUAGUACUGUGCAGUCUUGUAGCUUUCUGAAGGUGUAUUUUCUUGAGUUUUUUGAUUGUAAGUAAGGCUCUACCUCCUGAAUGUUUGUAUUGUGUAUCUACAAACAACACACUUGUAAAUUAGAUGGUUAUGUAUAUUAUGAAUAGUGUAGUUUGUGUAAUUGGCUUGUCUCGUAAGUUUUAUCGCA